ACAAAAAACGUGGGUCAC
Molecule: microRNA, 18 nt
Filed under: Ciona intestinalis (vase tunicate)
Lineage: Eukaryota; Metazoa; Chordata; Ascidiacea; Phlebobranchia; Cionidae
Description: cin-miR-4105-5p
Source: miRBase by way of RNAcentral